Saccostrea cuccullata (small rock oyster) is the source of this 362-nucleotide long non-coding RNA. RefSeq lists it as uncharacterized. The record is from RefSeq and is a predicted model, not a curated record. Lineage: Eukaryota; Metazoa; Mollusca; Bivalvia; Ostreida; Ostreidae. The transcript is spliced from 4 exons.
UAAAUAUCUCAUAAUUACAGAUCAAGGAUGCUAUGAUUAUCUUCAACAGUCUACACCAUCAAAAAUCAUUGAGAAGAAAACACCAGCUUCUGAAAGAGAAUCCAACAACAGUGCAUUGAUUGGCCUCCUGUGCUUUUUAGUGAUGACAACUCUUCUACUGCCCAUUAUUAUAGUCUUGGUAUUUAAAAGAAAAAAGUUUUUUGACUGGUGCAGAUCUAGACGGAAGGACACUGAGAAAUGUAAUGAUCAUACGCUGGAACCCGCCGAAGAAGACAAAGAAGGAAAUACUGCAACGAAAGGAACUCCUCACAGAGCUGUUACAAUAGAAGAGGAAACAAAAGAGGAAACAAAAGAAGCAUAUC